GUGAGGUAACGGCCUACCAAGGCAUCGACGGGUAGCUGGUCUGAGAGGAUGAUCAGCCACACUGGGACUGAGACACGGCCCAGACUCCUACGGGAGGCAGCAGUGGGGAAUCUUGCGCAAUGGGCGAAAGCCUGACGCAGCAACGCCGCGUGCGGGAAGAAGGCUCUCGGGUUGUAAACCGCUUUCAGCAGGAACGAAACUGACGGUACCUGCAGAAGAAGGUGCGGCCAACUACGUGCCAGCAGCCGCGGUGACACGUAGGCACCAAGCGUUGUUCGGAUUUAUUGGGCGUAAAGAGCUCGUAGGCGGUUCAGUAAGUCGGGUGUGAAAACUCAGGGCUCAACUCUGAGACUGCACCCGAUACUGCUGUGACUUGAGUACGGUAGGGGAACGGGGAAUUCCUGGUGUAGCGGUGAAGUGCGCAGAUAUCAGGAGGAACACCGGUGGCGAAGGCGCCGCUCUGGGCCGAAACUGACGCUGAGGAGCGAAAGCGUGGGUAGCAAACAGGAUUAGAUACCCUGGUAGUCCACGCCGUAAACGUUGGGCACUAGGUGUGGGUUCCAACCAACGGGAUCCGUGCCGUCGCUAACGCAUUAAGUG
RNAcentral lists this ribosomal RNA (600 nucleotides) under uncultured Actinobacteridae bacterium. RNAcentral's name for it is "bacterial SSU rRNA". It matches the Rfam family "Bacterial small subunit ribosomal RNA", at positions 252 to 866 of the family's 1533-position model. Lineage: Bacteria; Bacillati; Actinomycetota; Actinomycetes. The record is from RNAcentral.